GACGAACGCUGGCGGCGUGCUUAACACAUGCAAGUCGAACGAUGAACCCGGAGCUUGCUCCGGUGGAUUAGUGGCGAACGGGUGAGUAACACGUGAGUAACCUGCCCUUGACUCUGGGAUAACUGCGGGAAACUGUAGCUAAUACCGGAUACGACCUUCGGCGGCAUCGCCAGGGGGUGGAAAGAAUUUCGGGCAAGGAUGGACUCGCGGCCUAUCAGCUAGUUGGUGAGGUAACGGCUCACCAAGGCGACGACGGGUAGCCGGCCUGAGAGGGUCACCGGCCACACUGGUAGUGAGACACGGCCAAGACUCCCACGGGAGGCAGCAGUGGGGAAUAUUGCACAAGGGGCGCAAGCCUGAUGCAGCAACGCCGCGUGAGGGAUGACGGCCUUGGGGUUGAAAACCUCUUUUAGGAGGAAAGAAGCGAAAGUGACGGUACCUGCAGAAAAAGCACCGGCUAACUACGUGCCAGCAGCCGCCGUAA
Molecule: ribosomal RNA, 484 nt
Filed under: uncultured bacterium
Lineage: Bacteria
Description: partial 16S ribosomal RNA
Rfam family: Bacterial small subunit ribosomal RNA
Source: RNAcentral